This 164-nucleotide ribosomal RNA is filed under the name Brachyglottis kirkii. RNAcentral's name for it is "5.8S ribosomal RNA". It matches the Rfam family "5.8S ribosomal RNA". Rfam says of the family: 5.8S ribosomal RNA (5.8S rRNA) is a component of the large subunit of the eukaryotic ribosome. It is transcribed by RNA polymerase I as part of the 45S precursor that also contains 18S and 28S rRNA. Lineage: Eukaryota; Viridiplantae; Streptophyta; Magnoliopsida; Asterales; Asteraceae. The record is from RNAcentral.
CAAAAGACUCUCGGCAACGGAUAUCUCGGCUCACGCAUCGAUGAAGAACGUAGCAAAAUGCGAUACUUGGUGUGAAUUGCAGAAUCCCGUGAACCAUCGAGUUUUUGAACGCAAGUUGCGYCCGAAGCCUUUUGGCCGAGGGCACGUCUGCCUGGGCGUCACAC